CCUACUCUUAUCACUUGUAAUCCAAAAAAGCUCCAUUUCUUUCUUAUACGCUAAUUCACUAUUAAAUAGAAAUGUAUAUGCAAAACAGCGAGAAAUUUGUAGAUACGUUGAAUGUUGUUGCUUUCACAUUUGCAACUCUUAGUAGUUGUUCAAAACAACAAUGUCGAGCAAAGAUGUUUGCGAUGUUUGAAUGAUUCUUGGAUUGUAUUUGGAUUCCAUCGGUACUAUGGCCUGUUGAUUCGGCACCUUUGUCAUUUUAGCAACUUUUGUUUUCUUUUCUGUGUCGAUGUAGUUCUCUAUACCAUAUUCAUGUUCAUAUUCAUGUUCAUAUUCAUGUUCAUAUCAAUGUCCAUAUCAAUGUCCAUAUCAAUUUCCCAUGUUCCAUUACAUAUCCCGUGUUCUUUCCUUCUUCCAGCUUUUACAUGCUAGCCCUUUUAUACAAUGGAUUCCUCUCAUCUCGACUCGCUUGAUGAAUGGGGCGUUUAGUUUUUGCAACACAUAUGGCGUUGGGNUAUCUCAUAUCGGGGAAACACUUUCUGCCCACUUUUUAACUUGAACAAAGNUGGGAGA
RNAcentral lists this small RNA (570 nucleotides) under Schizosaccharomyces pombe (fission yeast). Its description in RNAcentral is "small heterochromatic RNA precursor". The record is from RNAcentral. Lineage: Eukaryota; Fungi; Ascomycota; Schizosaccharomycetes; Schizosaccharomycetales; Schizosaccharomycetaceae.